RNAcentral lists this ribosomal RNA (253 nucleotides) under uncultured bacterium. RNAcentral's name for it is "partial 16S ribosomal RNA". It matches the Rfam family "Bacterial small subunit ribosomal RNA", at positions 524 to 776 of the family's 1533-position model. The record is from RNAcentral.
UACGGGGGGGGUAAGCGUUGUUCGGAAUUACUGGGCGUAAAGGGCUCGUAGGCGGCCAACUAAGUCGGACGUGAAAUCCCCCGGCUCAACUGGGGAGGGUCACGCGAUACUGAUCGACUCGAAGGCAGGAGAGGGUAGUGGAAUUCCCGGUGUAGUGGUGAAAUGCGUAGAUAUCGGGAGGAACACCAGUGGCGAAGGCGACUACCUGGCCUGUUCUUGACGCUGAGGCGCGAAAGCUAGGGGAGCAAACAGG